CAGUAGCCGCGGUAAUACGGAGGGUGCAAGCGUUAAUCGGAAUUACUGGGCGUAAAGCGCACGCAGGCGGUCUGACAAGUCAGAUGUGAAAUCCCCGGGCUUAACCUGGGAACUGCAUUUGAAACUGUCAGGCUGGAGUCUUGUAGAGGGGGGUGGAAUUCCAGGUGUAGCGGUGAAAUGCGUAGAGAUCUGGAGGAAUACCGGUGGCGAAGGCGGCCCCCUGGACAAAGACUGACGCUCAGGUGCGAAAGCGUGGGGAGCAAACAGGAUUAGAUACCCCCGUAGUCCCUGUGUCUUAUAA
This 301-nucleotide ribosomal RNA is filed under the name uncultured bacterium. Its description in RNAcentral is "partial 16S ribosomal RNA". It matches the Rfam family "Bacterial small subunit ribosomal RNA", at positions 509 to 809 of the family's 1533-position model. The record is from RNAcentral.